This 447-nucleotide ribosomal RNA is filed under the name uncultured bacterium. RNAcentral describes it as "partial 16S ribosomal RNA". It matches the Rfam family "Bacterial small subunit ribosomal RNA", at positions 29 to 523 of the family's 1533-position model. The record is from RNAcentral.
AACGAACGCUGGCGGCAGGCUUAACACAUGCAAGUCGAACGCACCGCAAGGUGAGUGGCAGACGGGUGAGUAACACGUGGGGAUCUGCCCAAUGGUACGGAAUAGCUCCGGGAAACUGGAAUUAAUACCGUAUGUGCCCUUCGGGGGAAAGAUUUAUCGCCAUUGGAUGAACCCGCGUCGGAUUAGCUAGUUGGUGAGGUAAAGGCUCACCAAGGCGACGAUCCGUAGCUGGUCUGAGAGGAUGAUCAGCCACACUGGGCCUGAGACACGGCCCAGAGUCCUACGGGAGGCAGCAGUGGGGAGGAUUGGACAAGGGGCGCAAGCCUGAUCCAGCCAUGCCGCGUGAGUGAUGAAGGCCUUAGGGUUGUAAAGCUCUUUCGCCGACGAAGAUAAUGACGGUAGUCGGAGAAGAAGCCCCGGCUAACUUCGUGCCAGCCGCCGCCGUAA